RNAcentral lists this ribosomal RNA (253 nucleotides) under uncultured bacterium. RNAcentral describes it as "partial 16S ribosomal RNA". It matches the Rfam family "Bacterial small subunit ribosomal RNA", at positions 524 to 776 of the family's 1533-position model. The record is from RNAcentral.
UACGUAGGGUGCGAGCGUUAAUCGGAAUUACUGGGCGUAAAGCGUGCGCAGGCGGUUCGUUGUGUCUGAUGUGAAAGCCCCGGGCUCAACCUGGGAAUGGCAUUGGAAACUGGCGAGCUGGAGUGUGGCAGAGGGGGGUGGAAUUCCGCGUGUAGCAGUGAAAUGCGUAGAGAUGCGGAGGAACACCGAUGGCGAAGGCGGAUCUCUGGGCCUUACCUGACGCUCAGGUGCGAAAGCUAGGGGAGCGAACAGG